Molecule: ribosomal RNA, 404 nt
Filed under: Actinomycetes bacterium
Lineage: Bacteria; Bacillati; Actinomycetota; Actinomycetes
Description: Actinobacteria bacterium partial 16S ribosomal RNA
Rfam family: Bacterial small subunit ribosomal RNA
Source: RNAcentral
UGGGGAAUAUUGGACAAUGGGCGCAAGCCUGAUCCAGCCAUGCCGCGUGAGUGAUGAAGGCCCUAGGGUUGUAAAGCUCUUUCACCGGUGAAGAUAAUGACGGUAACUGGAGAAGAAGCCCCGGCUAACUUCGUGCCAGCAGCCGCGGUAAUACGAAGGGGGCUAGCGUUGUUCGGAUUUACUGGGCGUAAAGCGCACGUAGGCGGACUAUUAAGUCAGGGGUGAAAUCCCGGGGCUCAACCCCGGAACUGCCUUUGAUACUGGUAGUCUUGAGUUCGGGAGAGGUGAGUGGAAUUCCGAGUGUAGAGGUGAAAUUCGUAGAUAUUCGGAGGAACACCAGUGGCGAAGGCGGCUCACUGGCUCGAUACUGACGCUGAGGUGCGAAAGCGUGGGGAGCAAACAGG